This 1328-nucleotide long non-coding RNA is filed under the name Gallus gallus (chicken). Its description in RNAcentral is "lncRNA (ENSGALG00010018775.1)". Lineage: Eukaryota; Metazoa; Chordata; Aves; Galliformes; Phasianidae. The record is from RNAcentral.
AUUAGACUCUUCAAUCCUAACCCUACAGCCCUAAGUGAUUCCUUAACGCUGGAGAUGCAGGAAUUUGAUUUGUAUGCAAGUUGACCCUGCAAAGCAUUGCAGUGAAGCCAUCCUAUCCCAACAGAGUGGCAUUCAGGCUCUGUUUUCUGGUAAAGGCAUUUCAACAGGAGACCAAAAAUAACCCCCGAGAAGUAGAGCUGAAAGCAGAUUCCUGUUCCCAGCCCUACAACCAAGAGCUGGGAAGAUUGGUUUUGAAGACUUCCCCAGAGAUGGAUUUUCCUGCCAUCCUGUAGUCGUUACUUUUUGAAGUCCCUGAGGUGGUUUCCAUCCUGUAGCAAGUCUGUUUCCCCAGGUGCAGGAUAAGGAUGAUAAAACCUGCAUGGAGGGAUGCUGCAAAUGCUCAUGUGGUCCCAGCAGGUCCCUGCUUAAAGCUUGGUGUUUGCUCUUGGGUUUGAGGUACUUGCUGAUGGAGUCACUUAAACAGCUUCUAAGUUUUGGUCCACAUCCACUCAAUGAAACCCUGGCCAGAACCCAGCCAUGUGCUAGAAGCUCCGACACCAAAUAUUUCUGCAAAACAAGCCAGAAGCAAAGUCAGGGAAGGAGAAAGUGCAGACAAACUCCCACAGAGCAGCUGAGGAUCAACGCCAUGAUAUCUGUGCCAAAGACAUUGGAGGGACAUAUCUGGAAGAGCAACAGCAGGAACAUCUGCAGUGCUACGCACCCCAUCUGGGUCACUCACCUGUCCCCACAGCCCAUCUGCAGGGCAUGCAAAUCUUCCUCCACUUCUAAUUGCAAUUUGCAAACUCCUUUCGAAGUGUGCUGUUAGCUUCUAGAUGCUAGAUGCCGUUAGAUGUGCUGUUGCACACCUCCCACCCAUGCUGGACACCAACACUGGAAUACCACAGCAGAUGAUAUUCUCCAUUAAGAUACAAAAGAAAGAAGUCCAGAUAUGAGCUGAACUAAUGCAUUAUGUCACAGUCUGUUCUCUUCUCCUUUACUUUACUUUUUUUCCCCUUUCUUUUUUCCUUUCUCUGCUGGCUUUGCUUUCUGAUCCAGAGAAUAAAUAAGAUGGACUGGACUUUGUUACUUGGAAGGCCACCAAUUUCCAAACACAUGCCAAAUACCAGCUCUUCAUAACCUCACCAUAUGCUGCAGAGCUAAUUUUGACAGUUAUCAAAAAAGCUUAAACCCAGAAGAGCAGGAAGAGAUGCCCCACAUUCCUGUAGCUCAUGUAGCCAAACCUGGCACCCCAUCCUUUGGGACCCAUGAGGUCAUCCAAGUAGUGAAGUACACAUCUGUAAUACAGCUGCACAGCUCAAAGCACAGCC